This 520-nucleotide ribosomal RNA is filed under the name Obelia dichotoma (sea thread hydroid). RNAcentral's name for it is "partial 16S ribosomal RNA". It matches the Rfam family "Bacterial large subunit ribosomal RNA", at positions 1882 to 2560 of the family's 2925-position model. Lineage: Eukaryota; Metazoa; Cnidaria; Hydrozoa; Leptothecata; Obeliidae. The record is from RNAcentral.
UUUUUAAUUAAUAAUAGAAAAGAUUAAAAAUAAAACUAAAAGGACGCGGUAACCUUGACCGUGAUAAUGUAGCAUAAUCACUCGCCAUUUAAUUGAUGGAUAGUAUGAAUGGUUGAACGAAUAUUCCACUGUCUUAAAGAGAAUUACAAGAAAUUGAAAUAAUAGUUAAGAUGCUAUUUAAAACUGUAAGACGAAAAGACCCUAUAGAGCUUAACUAUAAUCUCUUUAUUAACCAAGAAAAAUAAUUUUCUUAUUUAAAAAGAUUGGUAGUUUAGUUGGGGCGACUGUCUUCUAAAAAGAACGAAGACAAGCAAUGUUAAUAAAAAACUUAUUGUAUAAUAAAUCUAUUUAACAAUUAUUAAAGUAGGCUAUAUUGACCCGUUUUUACUAAAAAACAAAGAAAAACGAUCAAUUGAUAAAAGCUACCUUAGGGAUAACAGGAUAAUUUCAUUUUAGAGCUCAUAUCGAAAAUGAAGUUUGUCACCUCUAUGUUGAAUUAAGAUAUCCUGGUAAUGCAGCA